RNAcentral lists this ribosomal RNA (471 nucleotides) under Serratia marcescens. Its description in RNAcentral is "bacterial SSU rRNA". It matches the Rfam family "Bacterial small subunit ribosomal RNA", at positions 8 to 475 of the family's 1533-position model. The record is from RNAcentral. Lineage: Bacteria; Pseudomonadati; Pseudomonadota; Gammaproteobacteria; Enterobacterales; Yersiniaceae.
AGAGUUUGAUCCUGGCUCAGAUUGAACGCUGGCGGCAGGCUUAACACAUGCAAGUCGAGCGGUAGCACAGGGGAGCUUGCUCCCCGGGUGACGAGCGGCGGACGGGUGAGUAAUGUCUGGGAAACUGCCUGAUGGAGGGGGAUAACUACUGGAAACGGUAGCUAAUACCGCAUAACGUCGCAAGACCAAAGAGGGGGACCUUCGGGCCUCUUGCCAUCAGAUGUGCCCAGAUGGGAUUAGCUAGUAGGUGGGGUAAUGGCUCACCUAGGCGACGAUCCCUAGCUGGUCUGAGAGGAUGACCAGCCACACUGGAACUGAGACACGGUCCAGACUCCUACGGGAGGCAGCAGUGGGGAAUAUUGCACAAUGGGCGCAAGCCUGAUGCAGCCAUGCCGCGUGUGUGAAGAAGGCCUUCGGGUUGUAAAGCACUUUCAGCGAGGAGGAAGGUGGUGAACUUAAUACGUUCAUCAA